This 253-nucleotide ribosomal RNA is filed under the name uncultured bacterium. Its description in RNAcentral is "partial 16S ribosomal RNA". It matches the Rfam family "Bacterial small subunit ribosomal RNA", at positions 524 to 776 of the family's 1533-position model. The record is from RNAcentral.
UACGUAGGGUGCAAGCGUUGUCCGGAAUUAUUGGGCGUAAAGAGCUCGUAGGCGGUUUGUCGCGUCGGCUGUGAAAACCCGGGGCUCAACUCCGGGCCUGCAGUCGAUACGGGCAGACUAGAGUGCGGUAGGGGAGACUGGAAUUCCUGGUGUAGCGGUGAAAUGCGCAGAUAUCAGGAGGAACACCGGUGGCGAAGGCGGGUCUCUGGGCAGUAACUGACGCUGAGGAGCGAAAGCGUGGGGAGCGAACAGG